Molecule: ribosomal RNA, 253 nt
Filed under: uncultured bacterium
Lineage: Bacteria
Description: partial 16S ribosomal RNA
Rfam family: Bacterial small subunit ribosomal RNA
Source: RNAcentral
UACGUAGGUGGCAAGCGUUGUCCGGAAUCAUUGGGCGUAAAGAGCGUGUAGGCGGCCCGGUAAGUCCGCUGUGAAAGUCCAGGGCUCAACCCUGGAAUGCCGGUGGAAACUGUCGGGCUAGAGUCCGGAAGAGGCGAGUGGAAUUCCUGGUGUAGCGGUGAAAUGCGCAGAUAUCAGGAGGAACACCAAUGGCGAAGGCAGCUCGCUGGGACGGUACUGACGCUGAGACGCGAAAGCGUGGGGAGCAAACAGG